CCCUUAGACGUUCUGGGCCGCACGCGCGCUACACUGACGAAGGCAACGAGCUUUCCUUUACCGAAAGGUACGGGUAAUCUUUUGAAACUUCGUCGUGCUGGGGAUAGAUCCUUGCAAUUUUUGAUCUUAAACGAGGAAUGCCUAGUAAGCGCAAGUCAUCAACUUGCGUUGAUUACGUCCCUGCCCUUUGUACACACCGCCCGUCGCACCUACCGAUUGGAUGGUCCGGUGAAGCCUCGGGAUUGUGGUUCUUGCCGCUUUAUUGUGGCGUGACCGCGAGAACUUGUCUAAACCUUAUCAUCUAGAGGAAGGUGAAGUCGUAACA
RNAcentral lists this ribosomal RNA (325 nucleotides) under uncultured eukaryote. RNAcentral's name for it is "partial 18S ribosomal RNA". It matches the Rfam family "Eukaryotic small subunit ribosomal RNA", at positions 1470 to 1796 of the family's 1831-position model. The record is from RNAcentral.